AACGAACGCUGGCGGCAUGCCUAACACAUGCAAGUCGAACGAGACCUUCGGGUCUAGUGGCGCACGGGUGCGUAACGCGUGGGAACCUGCCCUUAGGUUCGGAAUAACUCCCCGAAAGGGGUGCUAAUACCGGAUAAUGUCUUCGGACCAAAGAUUUAUCGCCUUUGGAUGGGCCCGCGUUGGAUUAGCUAGUUGGUAGGGUAAAAGCCUACCAAGGCGACGAUCCAUAGCUGGUCUGAGAGGAUGAUCAGCCACACUGGGACUGAGACACAGCCCAGACUCCUACGGGAGGCAGCAGUGGGGAAUAUUGGGCAAUGGGCGAAAGCCUGAUCCAGCAAUGCCGCGUGAGUGAUGAAGGCCUUAGGGUUGUAAAGCUCUUUUACCCGGGAUGAUAAUGACAGUACCGGGAGAAUAAGCUCCGGCUAACUCCGUG
RNAcentral lists this ribosomal RNA (433 nucleotides) under uncultured bacterium. RNAcentral describes it as "partial 16S ribosomal RNA". It matches the Rfam family "Bacterial small subunit ribosomal RNA", at positions 29 to 507 of the family's 1533-position model. The record is from RNAcentral.